UCCAGACUCCUACGGGAGGCAGCAGUGGGGAAUAUUGCACAAUGGGGGAAACCCUGAUGCAGCGACGCCGCGUGGGUGACGAAGUAUUUCGGUAUGUAAAGCCCUAUCAGCAGGGAAGAAGAUGACAGUACCUGACUAAGAAGCCCCGGCUAACUACGUGCCAGCAGCCGCGGUAAUACGUAGGGGGCAAGCGUUAUCCGGAUUUACUGGGUGUAAAGGGAGCGUAGGUGGCAUGGCAAGCCAGAAGUGAAAGCCCGGGGCUUAACCCCGCGGAUUGCUUUUGGAACUGUCAGGCUGGAGUGCAGGAGGGGCAGGCGGAAUUCCUGGUGUAGCGGUGAAAUGCGUAGAUAUCAGGAGGAACACCGGUGGCGAAGGCGGCCUGCUGGACUGUAACUGACACUGAGGCUCGAAAGCGUGGGGAGCAAACAGGCUUAGAUACCCCAGUAA
RNAcentral lists this ribosomal RNA (447 nucleotides) under uncultured bacterium. Its description in RNAcentral is "bacterial SSU rRNA". It matches the Rfam family "Bacterial small subunit ribosomal RNA", at positions 330 to 793 of the family's 1533-position model. The record is from RNAcentral.